This 21-nucleotide non-coding RNA is filed under the name Caenorhabditis elegans. The record is from RNAcentral. Lineage: Eukaryota; Metazoa; Nematoda; Chromadorea; Rhabditida; Rhabditidae.
UUUGAUUAAAGUAUGACUAUU